Molecule: ribosomal RNA, 347 nt
Filed under: uncultured bacterium
Lineage: Bacteria
Description: bacterial SSU rRNA
Rfam family: Bacterial small subunit ribosomal RNA
Source: RNAcentral
AGAGUUUGAUCCUGGCUCAGAUUGAACGCUGGCGGCAUGCUUUACACAUGCAAGUCGAACGGCAGCACAGGGAGCUUGCUCCCGGGUGGCGAGUGGCGCACGGGUGAGUAAUACAUCGGAACGUGUCCUGUUGUGGGGGAUAACUGCUCGAAAGGGUGGCUAAUACCGCAUGAGGCCUGAGGGUGAAAGCGGGGGAUCGCAAGACCUCGCGCAAUUGGAGCGGCCGAUGCCCGAUUAGCUAGUUGGUGAGGUAAAGGCUCACCAAGGCGACGAUCGGUAGCUGGUCUGAGAGGACGACCAGCCACACUGGGACUGAAACACGGCCCAGACUCCUACGGGAGGGAGCA